Molecule: long non-coding RNA, 1347 nt
Organism: Strigops habroptila (Kakapo)
Lineage: Eukaryota; Metazoa; Chordata; Aves; Psittaciformes; Psittacidae
Exons: 7
Source: RefSeq, a predicted model, not a curated record
GAAGGGAGUGGGUUUAUUUUAGCAAUGUCAGCCCAUUGAGGUGCCGAAUGGCACGAGCUCUGAGCGGUGAGGAUACACCAGAGGAUGAUGAGGAGAUCUGCAUUGGCCCAUGUGGGAGGGCACUGCUUGGUGGUGGUCGGUGGUGGUCACGGUGGGUGUUUAGGGAUGAGCAGCAGAGGGUGAAGAGGCAGGACAUCAUUGGAACGCAGGCCCGAGGAGAGGGCCCCAGCAGGUAAGGGCACACUCUGGGGACACAGUGUAGGGUAUUAGCAGGUUGUCCUAUUGGCAGGGAUACAGGCAGGUGUUAAGGGGUGCAGGCAGCGGCAGGUGGGGAAGUGCAGGAGUCAAGUGGUGUAGGUGUCAAGUUGGGUAUUAUAGGUGCCAGGCUGGGUAGUGUAGGUGGCACUGGAGGUAGUGUGGGUGGCAAUUUGUCUAGCGUAGGUGUUAGGUUGUAUAACGAAGGUGUUAGGUUGGUUAGUGUCAGUGUUACUUUGGUUGUCAUAGGUAUUAGGCUGGAUACCGUAGGUGGCACUUUGGGAACAAUAGGUGUUAGGUUGGGUACCAUAGGUGGCACUUUGGGUACUAUAGGUGUUAGGUUGGAUACUGUAGGUGGCACUUUGCGUACUAUAGGUGUUAGGCUGGGUAUCGUAAGUGGCACUUAGGGUAGUGUAGGUGGCACUUGAGGUGGUGUUAGGUUGGAUAUCAUAGGUGUUAGGUUGGUUAGUGUCAGUGUUACUUUGGUUGUCAUAGGUAUUAGGUAUUAGGUUGGGUAUUGUAGGUGUCACUUUGGGUAUGACAGGUAUUAGGUUGGAUACCGUAGGUGGCACUUUGGGAACAAUAGGUGUCAGGCUGGGUAGUGUAGGUGGUACAUUGGGUAUUGUAGGUGUCAGGCUGGGUAGCGUAGGUGGCACUUGGGGUGGCGUUACGUUGGAUAUCAUAGGUGUUUGGUUGGGUGGUGUUGGUGUUACUUUGGGUAUCAUAAGUGUUAUGUUGGAUACUGUAGGUGGCACUUUGCGUACUAUAGGUGUUAGGCUGGGUAUCGUAAGUGGCACUUAGGGUAGUGUAGGUGGCAAUUGAGGUAGCACAGGUGUUAGGUUAGGGAGCACAUGGCACUUUGGGUGUGCUCAUGCAGCUGACGCAGGGCCAGCACAGCUUUAUUAGACUGGUUCCAUCAGAGGUGCUUGGAAGUGGAACAACUCGUGCUCAGCACUAAGGGCGUGCUGACAUGGGAGAUGGCAUCGUCCAGACGUGUGGACUGCCAGGUGCAUGGCGAUGUUUUGGGGCCUGGUGUCAGGGGGUCCUUAGGAAGCAGGUGAGGAGAAGGAGGAGCAGGACAAGGAAGAUGGA